ACGGGUGAGUAACGCGUGGGAACGUGCCCUUCGGUUCGGAAUAACUCAGGGAAACUCGAGCUAAUACCGGAUACGCCCUUUUGGGGAAAGGUUUACUGCCGAAGGAUCGGCCCGCGUCUGAUUAGCUAGUUGGUGAGGUUAUGGCUCACCAAGGCGACGAUCAGUAGCUGGUCUGAGAGGAUGAUCAGCCACACUGGGACUGAGACACGGCCCAGACUCCUACGGGAGGCAGCAGUGGGGAAUAUUGGACAAUGGGGGCAACCCUGAUCCAGCCAUGCCGCGUGAGUGAUGACGGCCUUAGGGUUGUAAAGCUCUUUUCUCCGGGACGAUAAUGACGGUACCGGAGGAAUAAGCCCCGGCUAACUUCGUGCCAGCAGCCGCGGUAAUACGAAGGGGGCUAGCGUUGCUCGGAAUCACUGGGCGUAAAGGGCGCGUAGGCGGCUGAUUUAGUCGAGGGUGAAAGCCCGUGGCUCAACCACGGAAUGGCCUUCGAUACUGGUUGGCUUGAGACCGGAAGAGGACAGCGGAACUGCGAGU
Molecule: ribosomal RNA, 537 nt
Filed under: uncultured bacterium
Lineage: Bacteria
Description: bacterial SSU rRNA
Rfam family: Bacterial small subunit ribosomal RNA
Source: RNAcentral